Molecule: ribosomal RNA, 406 nt
Filed under: uncultured bacterium
Lineage: Bacteria
Description: partial 16S ribosomal RNA
Rfam family: Bacterial small subunit ribosomal RNA
Source: RNAcentral
AUUGAACGCUGGCGGCAUGCUUUACACAUGCAAGUAGGACGAGUGGAGAACGGGUGAGUAACGCAUCGGAACGUACCGAGUAAAGGGGGAUAACUGUCCGAAAGGACAGCUAAUACCGCAUAUCAUUGGAGCGGCCGAUGUCUGAUUAGCUGGUUGGCGGGGUAAAGGCCCACCAAGGCGAAGAUCAGUAGCGGGUCUGAGAGGGUGAUCCGCCACACUGGUACUUAGACACGGCCCCUACUCCUACGGGAGGCAGCAGUGGGGAAUUUUGGACAAUGGGCGCAAUCCUGAUCCAGCCAUGCCGCGUGUCUGAAGAAGGCCUUCGGGUUGUAAAGGACUUUUGUCAGGGAAGCGGUACCUAAAGAAUAAGCACCGGCUAACUACGUGCCAGCCGCCGCGGUAAUUC